This 253-nucleotide ribosomal RNA is filed under the name uncultured bacterium. RNAcentral describes it as "partial 16S ribosomal RNA". It matches the Rfam family "Bacterial small subunit ribosomal RNA", at positions 524 to 776 of the family's 1533-position model. The record is from RNAcentral.
UACGUAGGGUGCGAGCGUUGUCCGGAAUCAUUGGGCGUAAAGCGCGUGUAGGCGGUCCGGUAAGUCCGCUGUGAAAGUCGGGGGCUCAACCCUCGAAUGCCGGUGGAUACUGUCGGGCUAGAGUGCGGAAGAGGCGAGUGGAAUUCCUGGUGUAGCGGUGAAAUGCGCAGAUAUCAGGAGGAACACCAAUUGCGAAGGCAGCUCGCUGGGACGUUACUGACGCUGAGACGCGAAAGCGUGGGGAGCAAACAGG